GCCUUCGGGUUGUAAAGCUCUUUUGUCAGGGAAGAAACGGUGGAGGCUAAUAUCCUUCACUAAUGACGGUACCUGAAGAAUAACCACCGGCUAACUACGUGCCAGCAGCCGCGGUAAUACGUAGGGUGCAAGCGUUAAUCGGAAUUACUGGGCGUAAAGCGUGCGCAGGCGGUUAUACAAGACAGAUGUGAAAUCCCCGGGCUCAACCUGGGAAUUGCAUUUGUGACUGUAUGGCUAGAGUGUGUCAGAGGGGGGUAGAAUUCCACGUGUAGCAAUGAAAUGCGUAGAUAUGUGGAGGAAUACCGAUGGCGAAGGCAGCCCCCUGGGAUAACACUGACGCUCAUGCACGAAAGCGUGGGGAGCAAACAGGAUUAGAUACCCUGGUAGUCCACGCCCUAAACGAUGUCUACUAGUUGUCGGGUCUUAAUUGACUUGGUAACGCAGCUGACGCGUGAAGUAGACCGCCUGGGGAGUACGGUCGCAAGAUUAAAACUCACAGGAAUUGACGGGGACCCGCACAAGCGGUGGAUGAUGUGGAUUAAUUCGAUGCAACGCGAAAAACCUUACCUACCCUUGACAUGGUCGGAAUCCCGAAGAGA
Molecule: ribosomal RNA, 599 nt
Filed under: Herbaspirillum sp. Se2Ps_614
Lineage: Bacteria; Pseudomonadati; Pseudomonadota; Betaproteobacteria; Burkholderiales; Oxalobacteraceae
Description: bacterial SSU rRNA
Rfam family: Bacterial small subunit ribosomal RNA
Source: RNAcentral